RNAcentral lists this ribosomal RNA (55 nucleotides) under Ganoderma lucidum. RNAcentral describes it as "partial 28S ribosomal RNA". The record is from RNAcentral. Lineage: Eukaryota; Fungi; Basidiomycota; Agaricomycetes; Polyporales; Polyporaceae.
UGACCUCUGACCUCAAAUCAGGUAGGACUACCCGCUGAACUUAAGCAUAUCAAAG